UACGUAGGGGGCAAGCGUUGUCCGGAUUUAUUGGGCGUAAAGAGCGUGUAGGCGGCCAUGUAGGUCCGUUGUGAAAACUCGAGGCUCAACCUCGAGACGCCGAUGGAAACCAUGUGGCUAGAGUCCGGAAGAGGAGAGUGGAAUUCCUGGUGUAGCGGUGAAAUGCGCAGAUAUCAGGAAGAACACCCGUGGCUAAGGCGGGUCUCUGGGCAGUAACUGACGCUGAGGAGCGAAAGCGUGGGGAGCGAACAGG
RNAcentral lists this ribosomal RNA (253 nucleotides) under uncultured bacterium. Its description in RNAcentral is "partial 16S ribosomal RNA". It matches the Rfam family "Bacterial small subunit ribosomal RNA", at positions 524 to 776 of the family's 1533-position model. The record is from RNAcentral.